RNAcentral lists this ribosomal RNA (331 nucleotides) under Melanotus similis. RNAcentral's name for it is "partial 16S ribosomal RNA". The record is from RNAcentral. Lineage: Eukaryota; Metazoa; Arthropoda; Insecta; Coleoptera; Elateridae.
CAGCUGUCUCUAUNNNANUUNAUUUUUAAUUUAACUUUNAAGUNAAAAGGCUUANAUUUUUUUUAAAGACGAGAAGACCCUAUAGAGUUUCACAUUUCUUAUUUUAUUUUCUUUUUGGUAUUUAAUGGUUUUUAAUUUUUGAUUUGUUUGGUUGGGGUGACCAGAAGAUUUAAUAAACUCUUCUAUUAAAAUCAAUGAUUUUUGAAUUGAUAAUCUAGUUUUUCUAAAUUUAAGAUAAAUUACCUUAGGGAUAACAGCGUAAUUUCUUUUUAGAGUUCUUAUUGAAAGAGAAGUUUGCGACCUCNAUGUUGAUUUAAAUUGCCGCGGUAUG